AGUAGCUCAGUGGUGGAGCACUCGGCUGUUAACCGAUAGGCCGUAGGUUCGAAUCCUACC
Molecule: transfer RNA, 60 nt
Filed under: pig gut metagenome
Rfam family: tRNA
About the family: Transfer RNA (tRNA) molecules are approximately 80 nucleotides in length. Their secondary structure includes four short double-helical elements and three loops (D, anti-codon, and T loops). Further hydrogen bonds mediate the characteristic L-shaped molecular structure. tRNAs have two regions of fundamental functional importance: the anti-codon, which is responsible for specific mRNA codon recognition, and the 3' end, to which the tRNAs corresponding amino acid is attached (by aminoacyl-tRNA synthetases). tRNAs cope with the degeneracy of the genetic code in two manners: having more than one tRNA (with a specific anti-codon) for a particular amino acid; and 'wobble' base-pairing, i.e. permitting non-standard base-pairing at the 3rd anti-codon position.
Source: RNAcentral